GAUGAAGAACGUAGCGAAAUGCGAUACGUAAUGUGAAUUGCAGAAUUCAGUGAAUCAUCGAGUCUUUGAACGCACAUUGCGCCCUCUGGUAUUCCGGAGGGCAUGCCUGUCCGAGCGUCAUUGCUGCCCUCAAGCACGGCUUGUGUGUUGGGCCCCGCCCCCCGAUCCCGGGGGGCGGGCCCGAAAGGCAGCGGCGGCACCGCGUCCGGUCCUCGAGCGUAUGGGGCUUUGUCACCCGCUCUGUAGGCCCGGCCGGCGCUUGCCGAUCAACCAAACUUUUUUCCAGGUUGACCUCGGAUCAGGUAGGGAUACCCGCUGAACUUAACCAUAUCAAUAAGCGGAGGA
RNAcentral lists this unclassified non-coding RNA (345 nucleotides) under soil metagenome. Its description in RNAcentral is "partial contains 5.8S ribosomal RNA, internal transcribed spacer 2, and large subunit ribosomal RNA". The stretch from base 1 to 120 matches the Rfam family "5.8S ribosomal RNA", at positions 35 to 154 of the family's 154-position model. The record is from RNAcentral.